Molecule: non-coding RNA, 30 nt
Filed under: Mus musculus (house mouse)
Lineage: Eukaryota; Metazoa; Chordata; Mammalia; Rodentia; Muridae
Source: RNAcentral
UACAACAGGGAAGUCCUGGGGCAGGAACGU